CCGGACGCCCCAGUCGGGGUCCGGCCAACCGGGCGCCCGAUCGGUGUCUGGCGCUCCUGAUCACCAUGUUGCUCAUGUGGAGGAUAUGGCCAUGAGGA
Rhodoplanes sp. is the source of this 98-nucleotide regulatory RNA element. It matches the Rfam family "Repression of heat shock gene expression (ROSE) element". From Rfam's summary of the family: This family represents a 5' UTR cis-regulatory element found in heat shock mRNAs and is known as the ROSE (repression of heat shock gene expression) element. The record is from Rfam. NCBI's taxonomy places the organism in Bacteria, Pseudomonadati, Pseudomonadota, Alphaproteobacteria, Hyphomicrobiales, Nitrobacteraceae.